AUGAACGCUGGCGGCGUGCUUAACACAUGCAAGUCGAGCGGAAAGGCUCCUGCUUGCAGGGGUACUCGAGUGGCGAACGGGUGAGUAACACGUGGGUGAUCUGCCCUGCACUUCGGGAUAAGCCUGGGAAACUGGGUCUAAUACCGGAUAGGACGAUGGUUUGGAUGCCAUUGUGGAAAGUUUUUUCGGUGUGGGAUGAGCUCGCGGCCUAUCAGCUUGUUGGUGGGUAAUGGCCUACCAAGGCGUCGACGGGUAGCCGGCCUGAGAGGGUGUACGGCCACAUUGGGACUGAGAUACGGCCCAGACUCCUACGGGAGGCAGCAGUGGGGAAUAUUGCACAAUGGGCGCAAGCCUGAUGCAGCGACGCCGCGUGGGGGAUGACGGCCUUCGGGUUGUAAACUCCUUUCGCUAGGGACGAAGCGCAAGUGACGGUACCUGGAGAAGAAGCACCGGCUAACUACGUG
This 464-nucleotide ribosomal RNA is filed under the name uncultured bacterium. Its description in RNAcentral is "partial 16S ribosomal RNA". It matches the Rfam family "Bacterial small subunit ribosomal RNA", at positions 29 to 507 of the family's 1533-position model. The record is from RNAcentral.